UACGGAGGGUGCAAACGUUGCUCGGAAUCAUUGGGCGUAAAGCGCACGUAGGCGGUCCACUAAGUUGGAUGUGAAAGCCCCGGGCUCAACCCGGGAAGUGCAUACAAAACUGGUGGACUUGAAUAUGGAAGAGGGUCGCGGAAUUCCCGGUGUAGAGGUGAAAUUCGUAGAUAUCGGGAGGAAUACCAGUGGCGAAGGCGGUCUGCUGGGCCGUUGCUGACGCUGAGGCGCGACAGCGUGGGGAGCAAACAGG
Molecule: ribosomal RNA, 253 nt
Filed under: uncultured bacterium
Lineage: Bacteria
Description: partial 16S ribosomal RNA
Rfam family: Bacterial small subunit ribosomal RNA
Source: RNAcentral